This is a long non-coding RNA of Stomoxys calcitrans (stable fly), 252 nucleotides long. RefSeq lists it as uncharacterized. The record is from RefSeq and is a predicted model, not a curated record. The transcript is spliced from 3 exons. NCBI's taxonomy places the organism in Eukaryota, Metazoa, Arthropoda, Insecta, Diptera, Muscidae.
UAUCAUUUCAGGCAAAUAGAACAAUUAAAAUUCUUUUAAGGAUUCCAGUUAAAAAGGGUCAAAACUAUAAAAUGACACACAAAAUCUUAUGGAAACACUUGCAACAGAAGCCUAUAUUGAACGUAUUGGGAUUAUUUACAUUGAAUAGCAGAACAUUAUUUACGCUCCUGUCUACCAUAAUGGGUUACAUUAUAAUAAUGGUCCAGUUCAAUGAACUCAAUACUGAAAUUGGGUCAUAUGAACAUAAUUCAG